This 240-nucleotide ribosomal RNA is filed under the name uncultured bacterium. RNAcentral describes it as "partial 16S ribosomal RNA". It matches the Rfam family "Bacterial small subunit ribosomal RNA", at positions 537 to 776 of the family's 1533-position model. The record is from RNAcentral.
AGCGUUGUUCGGAAUCACUGGGCGUAAAGGGCGCGUAGGCGGCUUUGUAAGUCGGGGGUGAAAGCCUGUGGCUCAACCACAGAAUUGCCUUCGAUACUGCAUGGCUUGAGACCGGAAGAGGUAAGUGGAACUGCGAGUGUAGAGGUGAAAUUCGUAGAUAUUCGCAAGAACACCAGUGGCGAAGGCGGCUUACUGGUCCGGUUCUGACGCUGAGGCGCGAAAGCGUGGGGAGCAAACAGG